Long non-coding RNA from Sinocyclocheilus rhinocerous, 744 nucleotides. RefSeq lists it as uncharacterized. The transcript has 2 exons. NCBI's taxonomy places the organism in Eukaryota, Metazoa, Chordata, Actinopteri, Cypriniformes, Cyprinidae. The record is from RefSeq and is a predicted model, not a curated record.
AUAGCAUUAAUGCACUCAAUCAGUCAAUCGUCCCCGUCAGCAGCAAGACUGAGAGAGAUGGAGUUUAGCCUAGCCUAGCUGCCAGUGUGUAUCUGUGAGCACAUUGUUAUUUCUCACCGGUGUUUUGUGUUGUGUAUCUUGCAGCUUAUAUCCGCUCUAACCAGAUCAUGGGCUGGGGAGAGAAGGCCAUAGAGAUCCGCUCGGUGGAAACAGGCCACCUGGAUGGAGUUUUCAUGCACAAACGAGCACAACGGCUCAAGUUUCUGUGUGAGAGGAAUGACAAGGUCUUCUUUGCGUCUGUGCGUUCUGGAGGCUCGAGUCAGGUGUACUUCAUGACGCUGGGCCGCACCUCCCUGCUCAGCUGGUAAAGCAGGAGUCUGAGCUGCUGAUGGAGUUUCUCGACGCGAUCCGCUGAGGCCAGGCCACACGAACGGCCCGAGCCCGCUGGAGGACUGACAAACCGGCAAACACACUAACUGAGCCUGCUGCGUGAGGAACGGCUCGAGUAUCUCCAGUAUUAUUGCUAGUCUGUGUAAAUGUCUUUCUCUAGAGUUUAACACAAUCUGACUCCGCUGAGAGGAGCGCUGACAUCCUGCUGUCACAAAUAGUGUUCUGACAAUAGUGAAACACAAAAUGGCUUUGUUAUGUCAUGUUGUUUUUUUAUUUUUAUUUAUGGCUUGUAUUUAUUUCUAGCUUGUUUUUUUAUUAGUACUUGUUUUUACUAAGCAGAGUAGUUCCAGUAAU